UAAAUAAGAUGUACACACACGUGUAUGUAGACAUACAUAAACCAAAUGGCUAUUAAGUAUUACAAUUAAAUAUAAUCACUCAACAUAUAAUAUGUAAGUAUAAUUGUAAGUGCUGUUUAUUCUUGUAGCACAUACUUUAUACACAUAUACAUAUUACAUAUAAUGCGUGUAUUUAUCACCUAUAAAUAUUUCAAUUAUUUGCAAGAAUUCUAUUAUAAAUUAUAAUAUAGCCAUUAUUUACAUUGUGUAUGUGUGCAUACGUGGACAUAUCAAAGUGAGGCUGGUCUUACUUGUUUUUUGGAUCUCUGGUGCUCUGACAGCUCCCAGCCUCGCACCGAACCCCAGGGCCAGCCUGGCAGGGUGGGCACUUGCCCCCCGAGCCCCUUUCUGAGCGUGCCUGUGGUGCCCUCACCCCACGUUGGCUGCAUGACACAGGCUCUCUGUGACUCAGGAGUCUGAAUGUUACUUCAUAUGGCAACAGCCAUGUUUUGUUUCUUUCUUUCUUUAUUUUUAAUAGGCACUUUGAUGGGGGGGGUUGGAGGAGGGAGAGUUUAAAUAGAGUUUGCAAGGUUAUUCCUUGCCUGAGGCUGAGCUGUGCGCAAUCGUCACGUCUAACUGGGAUUUUUCCGUUUGUCUUUGGGCUCCUGUUGCUGAGCCGGGGUGACCUUGGCAGCACUGGCUGCAGCAGCUCUCCCUUGGCUACCCCAGUUCUGCUUCCCCAACCCAUUGCUGCCAAAGUGCCACCGAGGACUCCAGCAGAAACCAGUGCUGCCCGGCCAGUAGGUCCCAUGCACCCCACACACCCCAGCAGACGAGCUGCCUGGUUACGAGGUGACAGCAUCAGAGCUCCUUCCUGGUGGGAUGGUUGGUCCUGUCUUCAUCUCAUAGGUCACAUGGGUACUUGAGAGGAGUCUUCACCUCUGCUGGUCAUCAAACCUUGGUCAAAACGCAGCGCAGCACACGGUAUGUAGCCCCACAGGGCAGCUGCACCAAAGCCCCAUUGCCAGUAAGAAACAGGGUUGUGUUGUGGUCCUGUUCUGGAUCCUGGUGGUGCCUUCAUGCCCUUCAUCACAGGUCCACCAUCUUCCUCCUGGAAUCACUCCCUGCUCAGAGCAGGGUGCUGAGGCAGGGCAGAGGGAAUGACACCCUGCUCCGUCCUCCUGGGGGGAAGCCCCCAGGGCAUCUCCUUGUUGCACAUCAGGUGCCACCACAUUGCUGGUCUCAAGUAGAGGAGAAACCCAAAUCCAAUACACUUUAGAGGUGGCCUAGAUAACCGCGAUAUUUUUCUCAUCUGGCAAGAAAAAGGGAUGUAGUGAAACAGUUAAACCCCCCUCCCUCAACCAACGAGGAGCCGCUCAGAGCCAUGGUGGGUCUCUUCCAACCUCAAUGAUUCUAUGAUUCUAUGGUUU
Molecule: long non-coding RNA, 1409 nt
Filed under: Calidris pugnax (ruff)
Lineage: Eukaryota; Metazoa; Chordata; Aves; Charadriiformes; Scolopacidae
Description: lncRNA (ENSCPUG00000019857.1)
Source: RNAcentral